AGUGAACGCUGGCGGUAGGCCUAACACAUGCCAGUCGAACGGCAGCACAGUAAGAGCUUGCCCUUACGGGUGGCGAGUGGCGGACGGGUGAGGAAUACAUCGGAAUCUACUUUUUCGUGGGGGAUAACGUAGGGAAACUUACGCUAAUACCGCAUACGACCUACGGGUGAAAGCAGGGGAUCUUCGGAUCUUGCGCGAUUGAAUGAGCCGAUGUCGGAUUAGCUAGUUGGCGGGGUAAAGGCCCACCAAGGCGACGAUCCGUAGCUGGUCUGAGAGGAUGAUCAGCCACACUAGAACUGAGACACGGUCCGGACUCCUGCGGGAGGCAGCAGUGGGGAAUAUUGGACAAUGGGCGCAAGCCUGAUCCAGCCAUACCGCGUGGGUGAAGAAGGCCUUCGGGUUGUAAAGCCCUUUUGUUGGGGAAGAAAAGCAGCAGGUUAAUACCCCGCUGUUCUGACGGUACCCAAAGAAUAAGCACCGGCUAACUUCGUG
RNAcentral lists this ribosomal RNA (492 nucleotides) under uncultured bacterium. RNAcentral's name for it is "partial 16S ribosomal RNA". It matches the Rfam family "Bacterial small subunit ribosomal RNA", at positions 29 to 507 of the family's 1533-position model. The record is from RNAcentral.